Molecule: long non-coding RNA, 2794 nt
Filed under: Triticum aestivum (bread wheat)
Lineage: Eukaryota; Viridiplantae; Streptophyta; Magnoliopsida; Poales; Poaceae
Description: long non-coding RNA (TAES_LNC009826)
Source: RNAcentral
AGAAACAUAUGUUGUCUAACAGUACAACAACAAUAUGUAUCAUAGAAACAUAUAUUGUCUAACAGUACAACAACUAGAGACGGACACCGUCGAGCUCUAGGGCACCACAUAUCGAAGAAAAAGUAAAGUAGCGUAGCACCAGGCAGGCAGGUGCAGUUCUCAACAUUCAACAUUCAGUAACCAGAAUCGAAUAAAAGUUUAACAUCAGAGUUCACCAGUGCAUGUAGCAUAGAGGUCCAAUUUCCACGAGCACACAGAAUGGAGGAGCCUACACUCAAGAAGCCACAUCUGCAUUUCCAUGUACCUGCGGAGCAAUCGAUGUCCUCAGUUAAACAUAUUUGUAUUAUUAAUUCAGAAAAAGAGUUAUAUCUCAUAAUUUUUGUAUGGCUCAUUAGCUUCAACAAUGUAGAAACAGGACAAGACCUCCAAAGUUGACUCAGACAGAACCAAUAGAACUGUUCAUUUGUAGUCGCACAUUUUGAAGUUCUAUUUCCUUACAUGAGAAACCUUCAACUUCUAAUGUUGACAUGUUCUCAAGUCUUUGGCUACAUCUAAUCUCAGCAGAAGCUCAAUGACCUGUUGCUGAAAAUACCUCAAUUCGAGAGAAAUGCUUAGCUGCAUAGCAUCUCAAAUCAUUUAAAAUGUGCAUUGUUCUCAUGGUUAGAAAUGGGCGAGCUAAAUAAUCAGUAGCAAAUUGAAAUUAAUAAAAUUCAAGCAGUAAACGCCUCAAUCAAGAGAUCAUAUGUCAUAUUAUAAAUUAAUACUUCCUUGUUCAUGCAUUAGAUCCCUUAAGCAAGGGAUCACAUUCACACAUCAUAUUAUUAAUUAACACUUCCUUUAGUCCAAAAUAGAUAUCUUUUUUUUACUCUGCAUAGAAUGAAAACAAUAUAUUUUGACAACUACUCAUGACGAAACAGUUUUUUAUGAAGAAUCUAGGCAAGUCAUUUUUUUAUCAUGUAUUUAAACAAAAAAUCAUAAAGUAUUAAAUAACUAUGGUGACCAAAAUCAGAAAAAUUUAGACUGCACAAAAUUGAAGAAAUCUAGGCAAGCCAGACGCAGCUCCGACUUCUCGGUCACAACGAGAUACAAACAUAGAUGCACCCAUUUGAGGCUGGAGCUCUUUUAGGAUUCCCCACUACGUGCGAAGGAUAUAUGUUUUGGCCACCCAUUUAAACAAGGGUAAAUUUGACUAGAAGUUUUCCUGACUUAUUUAAAGAGUAGGAUUCUAUUUGGAUGUAAUUACUCCUUGACGUAUCAUGAAUUCAUGAUUCACUCCACUGAUGACUCCCAUGUAUAGCAGAUUACAUUUUAAUGUGUAUGCUGGACUAAAGAUUUUUCUUUUCUACCUUGCUAAAGGUCCAAUUGUAGUAUCUCUUAACUUGAUAUGGAGCUUGGAGGAGAGCAGAUUCUCGAAUAUCUUUCUUUCUUCUUUUGUAAAAAUCCUCUUUUAUUAGCGGCCAACAUCUCUGAUGCACAACUCGUCAAAGCUAAGGGGUCCAGGGAACUCUGCUCGAUCACAUUAUCAAUCUCCCAUCUAGACAAGGGGUCGUGUGGUAGCCAAGAUCCUCAACCUGUUGCCCAAGCUCGGAAAGAUUAAAUAACCUGUGGGGACUGGGGGUUCACCAAGACAGCUACUCGGUUAUUAAACAUUUCCAGAUCUUCAUAAUCAUUGGUUGAAGACUCCUGUCGUUGGGCAGCAAACAGAAUGAGAUUUAUUCUGUAAUCUGUAGUGGCUACCGCAUGGAGAAAUUCGAGCUUUCAUCUCUGAAACGGAACCAUAUUAGUGCAUAUUCCAGUACAGCUACUUGUAGUGGAGGAGUCUGUUAGUUUUUUUUAUUGAUUCCUUCUGCAACGGAUACUCCGAUAUAGGCCUUUGUUCUUCAAGUCCAUCAAUAAGGCCACCAACUAAGUUCAAAUUUGCAACCAGCAGGAAAGAUUUUCCAGCUCCUGAUUUCAAAUGGUCUUCUAGUGUUUUUGAAUUUAGACGAGAUGUUCCAAUAUCGUUUCUGUUUUUGCAACAGUGACUCAUAAGGAAGAUCUUUGUUGUACGGAGUUGGCUGUGAAUGGACAGAACAUAAGGAAUGGCCCAAGGUAAAUUUUGAAUGUGGUUCAACUAUUGUAUUAGUGUAGAUUUGUGGUCCGGGAAGCCAAGGUGAAAACUUCUAUAUACUGGAUUCAUUUUUAUUGUUAUGUGAAAACUGGAAAUAUAAAACAUUCACAUAGUUUAAGCUAAUCAGUUCUCACUUUGCAUUCAAAUCUCAUUCAAGGUAAGACGAAUGUGCAGUGUUGGAUCAUAGUAUCGACCGUACAUUACUACCUGACAGCAUCUUAAAAACUCUAGAGGCCAAUUGCAGAUUACAUGUGUGAGUUAGAGUGACAGACCAAGACAUACUGAGAAAAUAUUUAAGCAAAUCGCCUAAAAGCUGAAGGCUGGACAAUAAUUGCAAGCGAGCACUAGGUAUUAUAAUGAUCCCAAAUAAACAGCAAUGUCAAAUGACAAUUGCUAUAAGCCCUUUUCAUUAAUGAACAAGGAAUGUUCCAAUACUGUUACUAGCAUAGAGGGGCCAGGGACUACGCAAUCGCCUUCACACUUGCACGCGUGCACUUGAUAGAAAAAAAAUAUCAAAUACAAUUUAGCAACCAGAAAAAGGUAAAACAGAAAAAUAUCGACAAAGCAUAGGAAAGAGAAAAUAUUUCAUUAUGCUGCCACUUAAAAGAUAAGAUUACCUACUCAAUAUAUCUUGACAAUCAUCCUAUGUAUUGUGCAAAAGUUCAGCUCCACCAUCUCCAGCAC